This is a non-coding RNA of Clathrospora elynae, 84 nucleotides long. NCBI's taxonomy places the organism in Eukaryota, Fungi, Ascomycota, Dothideomycetes, Pleosporales, Diademaceae. The record is from the annotation of a GenBank genome assembly.
GGCCUAAUGGCCCAAUGGCAAGGCGCUUGACUACGACUUCGGUUUGAUAUCAAGAGAUUCCAGGUUCGACCCCUGGUUAGGUCA